GAAAGUCUAGCUCAGUGGAAGAGCGCGUGCUUAGUGUGCACACAGUCCUGGGUUCAGUCCCCAGCACUUCCA
Molecule: transfer RNA, 72 nt
Filed under: Camelus bactrianus (Bactrian camel)
Lineage: Eukaryota; Metazoa; Chordata; Mammalia; Artiodactyla; Camelidae
Also listed under: 2 other names
Rfam family: tRNA
About the family: Transfer RNA (tRNA) molecules are approximately 80 nucleotides in length.
Source: Rfam by way of RNAcentral